RNAcentral lists this ribosomal RNA (630 nucleotides) under uncultured Ochrobactrum sp. Its description in RNAcentral is "bacterial SSU rRNA". It matches the Rfam family "Bacterial small subunit ribosomal RNA", at positions 95 to 760 of the family's 1533-position model. Lineage: Bacteria; Pseudomonadati; Pseudomonadota; Alphaproteobacteria; Hyphomicrobiales; Brucellaceae. The record is from RNAcentral.
GCGGCAGACGGGUGAGUAACGCGUGGGAACGUACCUUUUGCUACGGAAUAACUCAGGGAAACUUGUGCUAAUACCGUAUGUGCCCUUCGGGGGAAAGAUUUAUCGGCAAAGGAUCGGCCCGCGUUGGAUUAGCUAGUUGGUGAGGUAAAGGCUCACCAAGGCGACGAUCCAUAGCUGGUCUGAGAGGAUGAUCAGCCACACUGGGACUGAGACACGGCCCAGACUCCUACGGGAGGCAGCAGUGGGGAAUAUUGGACAAUGGGCGCAAGCCUGAUCCAGCCAUGCCGCGUGAGUGAUGAAGGCCCUAGGGUUGUAAAGCUCUUUCACCGGUGAAGAUAAUGACGGUAACCGGAGAAGAAGCCCCGGCUAACUUCGUGCCAGCAGCCGCGGUAAUACGAAGGGGGCUAGCGUUGUUCGGAUUUACUGGGCGUAAAGCGCACGUAGGCGGACUUUUAAGUCAGGGGUGAAAUCCCGGGGCUCAACCCCGGAACUGCCUUUGAUACUGGAAGUCUUGAGUAUGGUAGAGGUGAGUGGAAUUCCGAGUGUAGAGGUGAAAUUCGUAGAUAUUCGGAGGAACACCAGUGGCGAAGGCGGCUCACUGGACCAUUACUGACGCCGAGGUGCGAAAGC